This 300-nucleotide ribosomal RNA is filed under the name uncultured bacterium. RNAcentral's name for it is "bacterial SSU rRNA". It matches the Rfam family "Bacterial small subunit ribosomal RNA", at positions 496 to 795 of the family's 1533-position model. The record is from RNAcentral.
GCUAAGUCCGUGCCAGCAGCCGCGGUAAUACGGAAGGGGCUAGCGUUGUUCGGAAGUACUGGGCGUAAAGCGCGCGUAGGCGGCCAUGCAAGGUAGGCGUGAAAGGCCUGGGCUCAACCUGGGAACUGCGCUUCAGACUGCACGGCUUGAGUCCGGGAGAGGGUGGUGGAAUUCCCAGUGUAGAGGUGAAAUGCGUAGAUAUGCGGAGGAACACCGAUGGCGAAGGCAAUCCCCUGGGCCUGCACUGACGCUCAUGCACGAAUGCGUGGGGAGCAAACAGGAUUAGAUACCCCAGUAGUC